Molecule: unclassified non-coding RNA, 484 nt
Filed under: Arabidopsis thaliana (thale cress)
Lineage: Eukaryota; Viridiplantae; Streptophyta; Magnoliopsida; Brassicales; Brassicaceae
Source: RNAcentral
AACUUUUUUACUAAAAUUGAAGAACCCAACGAAUCACUGAUAUGCAUGUGUUAGUACAAAUGCACAUGAAGUGAUGAUAUUUUGAGUUUUUGUUUCCAACAUCACGAGAACUGAUGAUCAAGUUCGUGAUUAGAUGGAAAACAAUUUCGAACAAGAGAAACGAGUUCAGAAAGUGACGUUGAUGCUGAUGCUGCUGAAAGUGACGUUGUUGAUGCUGCUGAAAGUGAACAAGAGAAAUGGUGGGAAUGUGAGAUAUGCGAAGGAGCUGUUCUUCUUCAAUUAAACCCAGUUAUCAUAUUUUUUUUUCGAUCUAGGUCUGCAAUUUUUGGCAUCGAAUUUGAUAACUAUGUUGUUGGUGUUCAACGGAAAUUAGUGAUCUUCGUCUCGAUCUGCAAAUUUCAGUUUAUUAUAUAUCCUACACUAACCAAUAUUAAACAUGUAAUUUGAUUUUGAUUUUGUUUUAGAAUUUGAGUUGGUGAUUAAA